This 337-nucleotide ribosomal RNA is filed under the name Paragyrodon sphaerosporus. RNAcentral's name for it is "partial large subunit ribosomal RNA". The record is from RNAcentral. Lineage: Eukaryota; Fungi; Basidiomycota; Agaricomycetes; Boletales; Gyrodontaceae.
UUUAAGAGGAGAUAGUUGACUAGUUGGCAGUUUGACUGGGGCGGUCGUCUUUAAUAGAGUAGCAAAGUACAUCCAAAUAGAUUAAAAAAAAAUCAUAUUUACUUUUUAAGUAAGGUAAAUAUUCUGACAAAUUAUUUUAUAUUGUAAAUUAUUUUUAUUAAUAAUUACUUUAAAAUCAAUUUUUAAAAAUUCAUUAAUAAGGUAUGCUAGACAUUAAAUGGAGGUUAAUGAAUCAUGUAAGAUUCUGGAGAGUGCAAUGACGGUAAGCAUGCUUAACUGAAAGACUUAAUAGUCGCACAGAUACGUAAGUAGGGCAUAGUGACCCCUUGCUAUAUUA